AAACACUUAAUUAGUACAACACUGAAAAAAGAGAUGUUUUGGUGUUCUCUUGUUCUUAUUUUCCUAGCUGUUGCCGCAGGAGCCCUAUCACCACUGCCUGUUACAUCCUACGCAGAGGCCGUAUUCUGAGCUCUUCGAGAGUGAAAUUCCGGAGAUGUACUGGGAUUCCAAACGGAAGGGGCUUUUCUCUGGAGCCUCAGGAAGAAGCACGUGCGGGCGCUGCUGUUUGACAGCUCUCCUCGGCCACGGUGCCUUUCCUGUCCUGAUGUGAUUUUGCAAGAGGCACUGCUCACAGCUACUUGUGGAGACCACUUGUGGAGUCUUUAAAGAUGGGAAAAGAAUAAGUUUGUCAAGCUGACAUGAAACACAUGUGAAAAGACAAGGAGACAAGCAAUGAUUAUAGAAAAGUCAACCUGAGCAUCACGCUGAGCUUAAGGAGCCAAGCUGUGCCGCCGCCUCAGCGCAGCUGGGAUGUCUGCUCCCGACAGUCAGCUCUGCAGUCACAAGGCACCGGGUUUCCCGUCUCGCAGGGAUCGCUGCUCUUCGCUGUCUGAUGUCCCGAGAGCCCGAGAAUGGCCUUUGAUGCACAAUGGAGUGAAGUCAGCAAAACAGGCUCAAAGUUCAACCACGAUCAAGCGUAAACAUAAUAAAUCGUAAGCCCUGUUCAAACUCGGUGACACUGGUGGUAUGAUCUUGCACCAAAUGUUGCUUGAAAUAAG
Molecule: long non-coding RNA, 719 nt
Filed under: Camelus dromedarius (Arabian camel)
Lineage: Eukaryota; Metazoa; Chordata; Mammalia; Artiodactyla; Camelidae
Description: lncRNA (ENSCDRG00005015449.1)
Source: RNAcentral